RNAcentral lists this ribosomal RNA (489 nucleotides) under uncultured bacterium. RNAcentral describes it as "partial 16S ribosomal RNA". It matches the Rfam family "Bacterial small subunit ribosomal RNA", at positions 28 to 507 of the family's 1533-position model. The record is from RNAcentral.
GAUGAGCGCUGGCGGCAGGCUUAAUACAUGCAAGUCGUGGGGCAGCAGGACUGUAGCAAUACAGUUGCUGGCGACCGGCAAACGUGUUCGGAACACGUACGCAACCUACCCUGCACUGGGGGAUAGCCCGAGGGAAAGCGGAUUAAUACCCCGUAAUAUAAUGGAGUGGAAUCCCUUUAUUAUUAAAGCUCCGGCGGAUCCGACGGGGCGUGCGGCUGGUUAGGUAGGUGGUUGAGGUAACGGCUCAGCAAGCCUACGAACAGUAACUGGUGUGAGAGCACGACCACCGACACGGGAACUGGGACACUGGCCCGGCACCUACGGGACGGAGCAGUAAGGAAUAUGGGGCAAUGGAGGCAACUCUGACCCAGCCAUGCCGCGUGGAGGAUGGAGGCGCUCUGGGUGGUAAGCUUCUUUUAUAGGGGAAGAAACCUGUGUAAUCUUACGCAGUUGACGGUACCCUAGGAAUAAGCACCGGCUAACUCCGUG